UACGUAGGGGGCAAGCGUUAUCCGGAUUUACUGGGUGUAAAGGGAGCGUAGACGGCCAUGCAAGUCUGAAGUGAAAUGCCAGUGCCCAACACUGGAACUGCUUUGGAAACUGUUAGGCUGGAGUGCAGGAGAGGUAAGUGGAAUUCCUAGUGUAGCGGUGAAAUGCGUAGAUAUUAGGAGGAACACCAGUGGCGAAGGCGGCUUACUGGACUGUAACUGACGUUGAGGCUCGAAGGCGUGGGGAGCAAACAGG
RNAcentral lists this ribosomal RNA (253 nucleotides) under uncultured bacterium. RNAcentral's name for it is "partial 16S ribosomal RNA". It matches the Rfam family "Bacterial small subunit ribosomal RNA", at positions 524 to 776 of the family's 1533-position model. The record is from RNAcentral.